Molecule: ribosomal RNA, 569 nt
Filed under: uncultured Pleosporales
Lineage: Eukaryota; Fungi; Ascomycota; Dothideomycetes; Pleosporales
Description: eukaryotic LSU rRNA
Rfam family: 5.8S ribosomal RNA (bases 199-352)
Source: RNAcentral
UGCGGAGGAUCAUUAUUCUUCUCUAUCGGGGGGUUGUAGUUGGAGAUUGUUUUCAACCGGAAACUCUCUCCUUCUCGCCCUAUCUGAUUUUACCCAUGAUUUUUGUGUACCUUAUGUUUCCUUGACAGGUUCGCCUGUCAGAGGACCCAUUUAAACCUAUUGUAAUUGCAGUCUGCGUCAGAUAAACUUAAUAGUUACAACUUUCAACAACGGAUCUCUUGGUUCUGGCAUCGAUGAAGAACGCAGCGAAAUGCGAUAAGUAGUGUGAAUUGCAGAAUUCAGUGAAUCAUCGAAUCUUUGAACGCACAUUGCGCCCCUUGGUAUUCCAUGGGGCAUGCCUGUUCGAGCGUCAUUUGUACCUUCAAGCUUUGCUUGGUGUUGGGUGUUUGUCUCGCCUCUGCGCGUAGACUCGCCUCAAAACAAUUGGCAGCCGGCGUAUUGAUUUCGGAGCGCAGUACAUCUCGCGCUUUGCACUCAAAACGACGACGUCCAAAAGUACAUUUUUACACUCUUGACCUCGGAUCAGGUAGGGAUACCCGCUGAACUUAAGCAUAUCAAUAAGCGGAGGA